UCCUUCCUUUAUAAAGGUUCACUUUCAAAGACUGCACCCUAGUGAGAGACGAAGCUCCGAGAGGAACGGUCCCGUUGGAGCACAGCCAUGGUGCACGUCUCCUUCUAUCGCAACUGUAAUCUUUCCAUAUUUCUCCCUUUAACUGUGUGUGUUCAUUUUAUUAUAGUUAAAUUUAUGCAUGAAUAAAAUUACUUUAGUAAUUUUUCUCUAAUAAUGAUUCAUUCUUUGUAAGUGAAGGAUUUACAGUGAAAUCUUGUACUUCGAUCUGCUUUAAAUACAUGUUUUUUUUAAAAAAAAAAAAUUGUGUGCUUGAUCCAUAAAUUACUGGUUCUGAUCUAAUUUUAUUUUUUUAAAUUGGCGUAUAUACUGUUUGGUUGGUGAUAAAUUUGUGGAAAACAAAGGGAAAGAUGUAUCUUGCAUGCAUUUUUUCCUUUAUUGUUUUUUAUUCAUGACUGAGCCCAAAUGGCUGUGUUUUGCAUUGUGGGUGAAGGGGUUUGUUAGUGUGGAUACGAAAUUGUAAACUUGUAGCUUUUCUGUUAAUUUUGGUUGCUAAGUGAUAGACAAUAAGAGGUAAAAUUGUUUUGAAGCUGUAAAUAGGGUUUCAGAGUUUUUGAUCAAAUGAAGAGAAAAGCUCCAACAUAUAUCUGAAUUCAAUUAAGCACUUCGGGCAUUAUGUAGUUUUUUGCAGCCUAAGAGAACCCUGUUUUACCUACUUGAUAUUGCUAAACAGACUCUAAGGGAAAUAUUUGCUUAUAUUUUUAGUUUGAUAAUUGAUUUAUUUUUCUUGUUCCUCAAUGCAUAUUAAUAUUAUGAAUAAGCUUAGAUGGGAAGACAUUUAAGAAGCCUCGUCGUCCCUAUGAGAAGGAGCGAUUGGAUGCAGAGCUGAAGUUGGUGGGUGAGUAUGGUUUGCGGUGCAAGAGAGAGCUGUGGAGGGUCCAAUAUGCACUGAGCCGCAUCCGUAAUGCUGCUAGGAUGCUUUUGACUCUUGAUGAGAAGAACCCUCGCCGGAUCUUUGAGGGCGAGGCUCUUCUCCGCAGGAUGAACCGCUAUGGUCUAUUGGAUGAGAGUCAGAACAAGCUUGAUUACGUGUUGGCCUUGACUGUGGAGAACUUCCUUGAGCGCCGCCUGCAAACACUUGUGUUCAAGUCUGGUAUGGCAAAGUCCAUCCACCACGCUCGGGUGCUUAUCAGGCAGAGGCAUAUCAGGUGAGUUUAUGGAUAAUAAAAGUAUGUCAUUUUCAUUUUAUGUUGAGAUGUUGCCUGUUGCUUUGUGGAUUUUAAUAAUUUAGCCAUCUAUAUCUUCUACUACUGAUUGUAAAGGUUUACAUUUCCAGUCAAGUUACAAAAUUGUGAGCUCUAGAAUCAAUAUUUUUCUGACAGAAUCAUUGGAGUAUACUUUGAUGAAAUAGGUACUGGCCAUUGCACAAGUGUUAUUGUUUUAGGCAUGAUGAUGGUAGUUAUAUCUGAUCUGAUGGAUUAUGUGAUGAUGGCACUGUAUUAAUAGGUCUCAAACUGUAAAUAUGGUGAUUAUUAGCUCUUUUGUGUUGCAAUGACUUGAAAGGAGUGAUAUUAUGUGUUAGGGGGGCAAUGCAAAGCUAUCACAAGGUAUGCCAAUUUUUUAUUUAUUCGCCUAGCUUUGGGACUUGACUGAAUAGCAUUUGUUUGUAAAGACCACAGCCAUGCGAUGUGUUGAAGUGGAAUUUUGCUGUUCAAAUCUCUCCACUGAUUAUCAAAAAUGGGGGAAACAGAUGAUUAGGAAGCAGCUUGAAUUUCAUGUUGCUAAAAUACUGGCUUGGGCCCAGAUUAAGAUUUGGGAAGUUAAGGCGUUUGGUUCAGUACAUGUAUUGAUGUUCAUGCUGGCCCUGUUAGAAAUCUGGAACUUAUUUUUAAAAAAAUUCUUUGUCAUCCCAAAGUGCUGAUGUUCUAAUCAUGUUUGGAAGAAUCGGUUUUAUAGACAAAUUCCCUGAUGUUUUGAAAUACAGUUUAGUUAUUGUCAUCAACAUAAAUGUUGACUUGUAUUGAAAAUAUUUUGGCUGCCUUUUAUCGUAGUAGGAUGAUUUGGCCAUUUACGAAAUAUGCUAUAUCCUCAAAAUUUUUGGGUUGGCAGGGUUGGAAGGCAGGUGGUGAACAUCCCAUCUUUUAUGGUGAGGGUUGAUUCACAGAAGCACAUUGAUUUCUCCUUGACUAGUCCAUUUGGUGGUGGGCGUCCUGGAAGAGUGAAGAGAAAGAACCAGAGAGCAGCUAGCAAGAAGGCUUCUGGCGGAGAUGGAGAUGAGGAAGACGAGGAGUGAGUCAUGAGUUUAGGACCAUGCUAUUAGAAACUAUGCUCUACCAUCUCAGCUAGUUUUGUUGUUACCUUUCAAGGGGCUAGUGUUUUCUUUUUCUUUUCUUUUUUUGAAGAAAUAUUAUUGCACAAAUGGUUUUGUUUUUGAACUUUGAUAUUGGUUUUGUUUUGUGAUUAAUUAUGUAGCUAUGACCUGUGCUGAGGAUUAUUAUUAUUUUUUGUCCAUCAAAUGACAAUACAACUGGCUGGUUAUUGAAUAUGUUAUUAGCGAAGAUGUAUGUUGAUUGGCAUGGAAACUUGGAAUAUAUGCAUAGAGCCAACUCUCUGUUGUCAUUCUAACAUGUCAGUAGACUCGAUAUUUAUUCUUGAAACUAGAUCAGUA
This 2665-nucleotide unclassified non-coding RNA is filed under the name Hevea brasiliensis (rubber tree). Lineage: Eukaryota; Viridiplantae; Streptophyta; Magnoliopsida; Malpighiales; Euphorbiaceae. The record is from RNAcentral.